This 254-nucleotide ribosomal RNA is filed under the name uncultured bacterium. RNAcentral's name for it is "partial 16S ribosomal RNA". It matches the Rfam family "Bacterial small subunit ribosomal RNA", at positions 524 to 776 of the family's 1533-position model. The record is from RNAcentral.
CACGUAGGGUGCGAGCGUUGUCCGGAAUUAUUGGGCGUAAAGAGCUCGUAGGCGGUGUGUCGCGUCGGCCGUGAAAACUUGCAGCUUAACUGUGGGCGUGCGGUCGAUACGGGCAUCACUGGAGUUCGGCAGGGGAGACUGGAAUUCCUGGUGUAGCGGUGAAAUGCGCAGAUAUCAGGAAGAACACCCGUGGCGAAGGCGGCUCUCUGGGACGGUACUGACGCUGAGACGCGAAAGCGUGGGGAGCGAACAGG